CACAGAGCACUGGGCUGAGCUGCCUGUGUUACACAGCAACUUCCCACUUGGCUUUUCAAUUAUUUGACUGAAGAGAGAAAGACAGACAGAGAGAGGCAGAGAGGUGUGACAUCAGCUCACAUCAAUGUUCAGUGUGGAUCUGAGAGCGAAAUGAGGGGAAAUUGAGAGAGGCCUGUGUCCAGGAAGAAGGUGCACUGGGUUUUGAUGAUGACCAGGGAAAGGAAAGGAAAGGCCUCAUGAAGAAUUUGCAGACCUUGUCUAGUGAAAACCUGGCCUUAUUACAGAUCACAGGCCCCUGCCCACCAUUGUUGCCGUAAUUUAAUCCGAGAGAGGACUCUGACAUUGGCAGUAUCAUGUUUCUUAAUAGUAUUAGUCAAGCAGAGCUUGAAGGAAGGUACCCAGUGACUUCAAAGGAUAUUUUUAAGAAAGUGAAAUAAGAAGGAAGUGAGAAUCCAUGGGAAUGUCACUGGAUACCAUGGUUUCCACCCUGAGUUUUGGAAAAACCGCAUAACCUCCAAACUGUGUUCUGAGAAAAACAGUUGUCUGGUACAAAAGCAUGAGAAGUGAUAUAAAACGUUAGUUCAAAGCCUUUGGGGAAAAAAAAGAGGAACCCAAAGACAGUCACUGUCUCCUCUAAUGAACCCCCACAUGGAGAGGGGCUGCUGCUUGGAGAGCUGGUGCCUUUGAACUGUGAGUCAGACAACGGGGUGCCUCCUCACGCCUUCCGACGGGGCUGAGCCCCCAGACUUCCUGAGAAGCGCCUGCGCAAAGCGUCUUCUCCCUGGACUCGUUGGGGACUUAAACAGAAGACGCAGAGGGUGACUGCACAGUGACUGCCAGU
Molecule: long non-coding RNA, 841 nt
Filed under: Capra hircus (goat)
Lineage: Eukaryota; Metazoa; Chordata; Mammalia; Artiodactyla; Bovidae
Description: lncRNA (ENSCHIG00000002704.1)
Source: RNAcentral